UUCUGGACUGACACUGACACUGAGGUGCGAAAGCGUGGGUAGCAAACAGGAUCAGAUACCCUGGUAGUCCACGCCGUAAACGAUGUCGACCAGCCGUUGGGUGCCUAGCGCACUUUGUGGCGAAGUUAACGCGAUAAGUCGACCGCCUGGGGAGUACGGCCGCAAGGUUAAAACUCAAAUGAAUUGACGGGGGCCCGCACAAGCGGUGGAGCAUGUGGUUUAAUUCGAUGCAACGCGAAGAACCUUACCUACUCUUGACAUCCUGCGAAUUUGGUAGAGAUACCUUAGUGCCUUCGGGAACGCAGAGACAGGUGCUGCAUGGCUGUCGUCAGCUCGUGUUGUGAAAUGUUGGGUUAAGUCCCGUAACGAGCGCAACCCUUGUCCUUAUUUGCCAGCGCGUAAUGGCGGGAACUCUAAGGAGACUGCCGGUGACAAACCGGAGGAAGGUGGGGACGACGUCAAGUCAUCAUGGCCCUUACGAGUAGGGCUACACACGUGCUACAAUGGUCGGUACAAAGGGUUGCCAACUCGCGAGAGUGAGCCAAUCCCGAAAAGCCGAUCUCAGUCCGGAUCGGAGUCUGCAACUCGACUCCGUGAAGUCGGAAUCGCUAGUAAUCGUGGAUCAGAAUGCCACGGUGAAUACGUUCCCGGGCCUUGUACACACCGCCCGUCACACCAUGGGAGUGGACUGCACCAGAAGUGGUUAGCCUAACGCAAGAGGGCG
RNAcentral lists this ribosomal RNA (724 nucleotides) under Vreelandella aquamarina. Its description in RNAcentral is "bacterial SSU rRNA". It matches the Rfam family "Bacterial small subunit ribosomal RNA", at positions 727 to 1452 of the family's 1533-position model. The record is from RNAcentral. Lineage: Bacteria; Pseudomonadati; Pseudomonadota; Gammaproteobacteria; Oceanospirillales; Halomonadaceae.